UCCCUGAGUAGCGGCGAGCGAAACGGGAAGAGCCCAAACCAACAAGCUUGCUUGUUGGGGUUGUAGGACACUCUAUACGGAGUUACAAAAGAACAUGUUAGACGAAUCAUCUGGAAAGAUGAAUCAAAGAAGGUAAUAAUCCUGUAGUCGAAAACAUAUUCUCUCUUGAGUGGAUCCUGAGUACGACGGAGCACGUGAAAUUCCGUCGGAAUCUGGGAGGACCAUCUCCUAAGGCUAAAUACUCUCUAGUGACCGAUAGUGAACCAGUACCGUGAGGGAAAGGUGAAAAGCACCCCGGAAGGGGAGUGAAAGAGAACUUGAAACCGUGUGCUUACAAGUAGUCAGAGCCCGUUAAUGGGUGAUGGCGUGCCUUUUGUAGAAUGAACCGGCGAGUUACGAUCUGAUGCAAGGUUAAGCAGCAAAUGUGGAGCCGCAGCGAAAGCGAGUCUGAAUAGGGCGUUGAGUAUUUGGUCGUAGACCCGAAACCAGGUGAUCUACCCUUGGUCAGGUUGAAGUUCAGGUAACACUGAAUGGAGGACCGAACCGACUUACGUUGAAAAGUGAGCGGAUGAACUGAGGGUAGCGGAGAAAUUCCAAUCGAACUUGGAGAUAGCUGGUUCUCUCCGAAAUAGCUUUAGGGCUAGCCUCAAGUGAUGAUUAUUGGAGGUAGAGCACUGUUUGGACGAGGGGCCCCUCUCGGGUUACCGAAUUCAGACAAACUCCGAAUGCCAAUUAAUUUAACUUGGGAGUCAGAACAUGGGUGAUAAGGUCCGUGUUCGAAAGGGAAACAGCCCAGACCACCAGCUAAGGUCCCAAAAUAUAUGUUAAGUGGAAAAGGAUGUGGCGUUGCCCAGACAACUAGGAUGUUGGCUUAGAAGCAGCCAUCAUUUAAAGAGUGCGUAAUAGCUCACUAGUCGAGUGACACUGCGCCGAAAAUGUACCGGGGCUAAACAUAUUACCGAAGCUGUGGAUUGUCCUUUGGACAAUGGUAGGAGAGCGUUCUAAGGGCGUCGAAGCAUGAUCGCAAGGACAUGUGGAGCGCUUAGAAGUGAGAAUGCCGGUGUGAGUAGCGAAAGACGGGUGAGAAUCCCGUCCACCGAUUGACUAAGGUUUCCAGAGGAAGGCUCGUCCGCUCUGGGUUAGUCGGGUCCUAAGCUGAGGCCGACAGGCGUAGGCGAUGGAUAACAGGUUGAUAUUCCUGUACCACCUAGUAUCGUUUUAAUCGAUGGGGGGACGCAGUAGGAUAGGCGAAGCGUGCUGUUGGAGUGCACGUCCAAGCAGUAAGGCUGAGUGUUAGGCAAAUCCGGCACUCAUAAGGCUGAGCUGUGAUGGGGAGAGGAAAUUGUUUCCUCGAGUCGUUGAUUUCACACUGCCGAGAAAAGCCUCUAGAUAGAUAACAGGUGCCCGUACCGCAAACCGACACAGGUAGUCAAGAUGAGAAUUCUAAGGUGAGCGAGCGAACUCUCGUUAAGGAACUCGGCAAAAUGACCCCGUAACUUCGGGAGAAGGGGUGCUCUUUAGGGUUCACGCCCAGAAGAGCCGCAGUGAAUAGGCCCAAGCGACUGUUUAUCAAAAACACAGGUCUCUGCUAAACCGUAAGGUGAUGUAUAGGGGCUGACGCCUGCCCGGUGCUGGAAGGUUAAGAGGAGUGGUUAGCUUCUGCGAAGCUACGAAUCGAAGCCCCAGUAAACGGCGGCCGUAACUAUAACGGUCCUAAGGUAGCGAAAUUCCUUGUCGGGUAAGUUCCGACCCGCACGAAAGGCGUAACGAUUUGGGCACUGUCUCAACGAGAGACUCGGUGAAAUCAUAGUACCUGUGAAGAUGCAGGUUACCCGCGACAGGACGGAAAGACCCCGUGGAGCUUUACUGUAGCCUGAUAUUGAAAUUCGGCACAGCUUGUACAGGAUAGGUAGGAGCCUUUGAAACGUGAGCGCUAGCUUACGUGGAGGCGUUGGUGGGAUACUACCCUAGCUGUGUUGGCUUUCUAACCCGCACCACUUAUCGUGGUGGGAGACAGUGUCAGGCGGGCAGUUUGACUGGGGCGGUCGCCUCCUAAAAGGUAACGGAGGCGCUCAAAGGUUCCCUCAGAAUGGUUGGAAAUCAUUCAUAGAGUGUAAAGGCAUAAGGGAGCUUGACUGCGAGACCUACAAGUCGAGCAGGGUCGAAAGACGGACUUAGUGAUCCGGUGGUUCCGCAUGGAAGGGCCAUCGCUCAACGGAUAAAAGCUACCCUGGGGAUAACAGGCUUAUCUCCCCCAAGAGUCCACAUCGACGGGGAGGUUUGGCACCUCGAUGUCGGCUCGUCGCAUCCUGGGGCUGUAGUCGGUCCCAAGGGUUGGGCUGUUCGCCCAUUAAAGCG
Molecule: ribosomal RNA, 2358 nt
Filed under: human gut metagenome
Description: bacterial LSU rRNA
Rfam family: Bacterial large subunit ribosomal RNA
Source: RNAcentral